RNAcentral lists this ribosomal RNA (393 nucleotides) under uncultured bacterium. Its description in RNAcentral is "partial 16S ribosomal RNA". It matches the Rfam family "Bacterial small subunit ribosomal RNA", at positions 523 to 918 of the family's 1533-position model. The record is from RNAcentral.
AUACGGAGGAUGCGAGCGUUAUCCGGAUUUAUUGGGUUUAAAGGGUGCGUAGGCUGUGCGUUAAGUCAGGGGUGAAAUGCCGUCGCUCAACGACGGAGCUGCCCUUGAUACUGGCGUGCUGGAGUACGGAUGCCGUUGGAGGCAUGAGUGGUGUAGAGGUGAAAUGCUUAGAUAUCACUCAGAACAACGAUUGCGAAGGCAUCUGACGAAUCCGUCUCUGACGCUGAGGCACGAAAGCGUGGGGAUAGAACAGGAUUAGAUACCCUGGUAUUCCACGCCGUAAACGAUGAUGACUAACCGUCGGCGAUAGACAGCCGGUGGCCAAGCGAAAGCGAUAAGUCAUCCACCUGGGGAGUACGUCGGCAACGAUGAAACUCAAAUGAAUUGACGGGG